Molecule: ribosomal RNA, 263 nt
Filed under: uncultured archaeon
Lineage: Archaea
Description: partial 16S ribosomal RNA
Rfam family: Archaeal small subunit ribosomal RNA
Source: RNAcentral
UAGCCGUAAACGAUACUCGCUAGGUGUCGGCCACGGUGCGACCGUUGUCGGUGCCGUAGGGAAGCCGUGAAGCGAGCCACCUGGGAAGUACGGCCGCAAGGCUGAAACUUAAAGGAAUUGGCGGGGGGAGGCACCACCAACGGGUGGAGCUUGCGGUUUAAUUGGAUUCAACGCCGGAAAUCUUACCGGGACCGACAGCAACAUGAAGGCCAGGCUGAAGACUUUGCCGGAUUAGCUGAGAGGUGGUGCAUGGCGUAGUCGUG